Wyeomyia smithii (pitcher-plant mosquito) is the source of this 2047-nucleotide RNA transcript. RefSeq lists it as uncharacterized. NCBI's taxonomy places the organism in Eukaryota, Metazoa, Arthropoda, Insecta, Diptera, Culicidae. The record is from RefSeq and is a predicted model, not a curated record. The transcript has 4 exons.
AGUAUCGUGAGAGACGCCUUCGCAGACACACAUCGAAUCGCGGACGGAGGUGGCGCGCGAAUCACUGCAAAGUAAUUGAAACAAGAUCGCGAUGAAUGAACGACCUUUUACGGUACAGUUUCCAAAAAAGCCCGAAAUCGGGGAUGAGAUCAUCGUUAAGGGCAAGCUCAAACCUAACGCAAAAGUAUUCUCUGUGAACUUCAUUCUCCCGCUGUCGCCCCCAUUACGGAAGUCUACGUCUGUUCUGGAUUCCUUCGUUACUAGCAGUAGUAGUAGUAGCACUUGCUGCAGCAACGGCGUGGGCACGGAAAACCAAUCUUCACCCUACAUUGCUUAUCAUUUCAAAACCAUCUUCAAAGAAGACGGUUCAAGCGUGGUGGUGCAAAACUGGAAAAACCUCGUCUGGCAGCAGGAAGUUAUAGGUCCCAAUCUGUGGCUGAAGGAUCGAAACCGACCAUUUGGAUUAAUUUUCCGAUUCCAUCACGACACGAUACGGGUGUUCGCUGAGCACACGCACCACGCACCGGAAUACGAAUUCGAGUAUCAAGUACCCCUCGAGAGCAUACGAACCGUACAGUUGUGGGACGACGUCGAGUUCGUGGAAGAAGUGACGUUUCGAUUCCGGAAUGUUAGGCAACCGUGAAGCGUGGGAGUUCGAUUAAAAACUAAGUUUACUUUCUACGUACAUACUGUCACGAUGCAUCAAUAAACGCCAACGAGACUCGCGCCGGCAAGAUGCUAAUUGUUGAUCUCGCUUCGCUAAUUGUAAACAUAAACAUGCACCACCAGCUCACCUAAGCGGCUAUAAAUUCCCGCCAUCCGGUUUCAGCAGCUCAGUUUUUUAGGAAAUUUUCCCAGCACGGUUAGUGUUUGUAGCGAAUCACGACUCGCACGGAAGUCGCGACCUACCCCAGUCAGUAACGAGUAUUAACGUUCUAAGUUUCACCUAAGGAAAAGUACUAUAUCCAAUAAAGAUGCUAUCGUUUCUUCGUUUCUGAUUCCGAAUGACCGGUUCAGAGCGGAUAGGCAGCGUUUCGGGAUCCUUACGUGGCUUGAGAUGAACUAACGACCGACGGUAGUCCACACCAUCUACAUUUACAACAUAUGACCAAUCGUUCAGAUGACUGGUAACAAAGCCUGGUGUCCAAAGCUUUGUUGUAUCGGGUCUUAAUUGGACAUGGACUGGCGACCAAACCCGCAACUCCGUCGGUACGUCUUUAACUACCAUUGGACGUAGACGAUCAACUGUUGACGGUACACCACACCGAGUGGAACGUGCGAAAAAUCGUGCGACGGGACUAGACCCUACCUUGUUUGGAAUAUUGCGCCAAUGCAACAAAGCGUACAAAAAAUCAGUUCCACUUUCUUGGGCCUUCUUCAACAAUUGUUUGGCCACUUUCACAGCAGCCUCCGCUUUACCGUUAGCCCGCUGAUUAUACGGUGCGGACGUAACAAGCUCAAAGUCCCAUUCAGAGGCGAACUUUGUCAUCUUAUGGUUAACAAAAUUAGUUCCGUUAUCACAGACGACACGUUGCGGGACCCCAUGGCGGGCAAAAUUCUGCUUGCUCGCGAUUAUCACGGACUCUGGCGUAAGAUCCUUCAAGAUGUCCAAUUCGAAGAAAUCGGAGUAGUGAUCAACAGUUAUCAAAAAAUUGCGCUUGAUUCCUCGGUACUCUGCAAAGAAUACAUCCAUCGAUGCAAGCUGAAAUGGAUAAAGCGGAAUUUCAUGACUUUGCAUAGGAGGAUGUGAUUGUGAAGCGGCGAAUUUUGCACAAAUGGGACAUUGUUUUAUGACUUCCUUGAUCUGCGAACUCAUGCCGGGCCAGAACAAAUUUGCUCGUGCCAACUUUAAAGUGGCCUCCAUCCCGUUGUGACUUAAGUGACAGCUAUCGAUAAGAUUCCUUCGAAGAACAUGUGGCACUAAUAUACGAUCAUUGCGAAAGAUAAGGCCGUCUUGCGUGGCAAGUUCGUUACGAUAACUGUAAUAAAUUGUAGCACUAUCAGGUACACGAUCGACGGAAUCCGGCCAACCGUUACGAAUAUAACU